This 23-nucleotide small nuclear RNA is filed under the name Arabidopsis thaliana (thale cress). RNAcentral's name for it is "snRNA_11014". Lineage: Eukaryota; Viridiplantae; Streptophyta; Magnoliopsida; Brassicales; Brassicaceae. The record is from RNAcentral.
GUGAUCAUACUGAUAACAUGUUG